AAGCAUCUCUGCCUCAUCCUCCUUGCAAACUGACAGUAGCAAAGGGAAUUUUUCCUUAUCGGGGAGUAAGAAGCUCUUUUUUGACACUCAUGCUCUUGUGCGUCUCUUGGAAGGAAAUGGAUUCACUACUCUGCAGUCCGAGAUUAUUGUAUCUGCUUUAGUGAAAAUCACAGACACCAAUCUAGAUCUUAUUUACAAGGACAUGGUCACGAAAGUGCAGCAGGAAAUCGCUCUUCAGCAAAUAAUGUCUCAUAUUGGUGGUGUGAAAAAGGACAUGGUAAUUUUGGAGAAGAGUGAAUUUUCAGCACUCCGGGCAGAAAAUGAGAAAAUUAAACUUGAACUCCAGCAGCUGAAGAAACAAGUAAUGGAUGAAGUUACCAAACUUCGUACAGAUAACAAGUUAGACCUCAAUUUAGAGAAGAGCAGAGUAAAAGAACUGUAUUCACUUAAUGAAAAAAAACUACUGGAAAUGAGGUCAGAGAUAGUGGAAUUGAAGAGAGAGAGGUUUAGCUACAGAAUUGGCCAAAAGGACUUGGUCUUAGUUUUUAACAGCAUGCACAGCAGGAUCGAGCCGUGACCCAAACUGAUAGGAAAAUCGACACAGAAGUUGCAGGGUUGAAAACAAUGCUUGAAUCGCACAAACUUGAUAAUAUUAAAUACUUAGCAGGUUCAGUAUUUACAUGCCUUACUGUAGCACUGGGAUUUUAUCGUCUAUGGAUGUAAUAAAGUGUCUACUUAAAAGGACUUGUACUGUCUUGCCUUAUGAAAAUCAAGGAUAUUUUCACUUUAGCUACAAGAAUUUUUUCCUGAAUGAAAAAUAAUGUUUAUUAUUUUAUUUAUAUUUAUUUUUAUAGCAAACUACAUUGAGAAUGUAACAAAAAUGUGCCUAGAAAAAAUAUCUGUACUAUUUCAGUACCUAAUGGAAAGAGAAACUUGCCUCUGGUCAGAGCAAAGUAGAGAAUAUGCAGCACUGCCAAUCCCCUUGCAUCCUAAAUUGUAAUAUCUCCAUACUUUUGUAGUUCUAGGGUUUCAGUUAAGUAGAGACUGCCAGUCAUGCCAAAUUAUAUAAUUGCUCUUGUGGAGAGGUCUGCUAAAGAUUAUAUACCAAACUCUCCUGAGGCAUGCAUGCCUAAUGGUAGAUACUUGUAUCAGAGCAGAGUUGAUCACAAAUUUUAAACCUUUUAGUACCAUUUUGUGACUGCAAGGGACUCCUAGACCUAAUUUUAAUGAAAUGCAAGUUGAUUAAACUAGAGGCAUACAUUCUUUUCCCCCAUGUUCAUCUGUCUAUACUCUCUGUGCUACAAAUACAUAUAUUUAUAUACUUAUUAUAAAGAAAUAUUUUUUCUAUUUGUUAUACUAAUUAUGUGCAUCAUAGUUUGUUUCCCAGAUGGCCGUCCAAACAACUGUACUUCAUUAGAAAUUGUUCUGUAAUAAGUGUCUUUACCACCUUUUUGUAGGUUUGAUAUGUAGUGUGCUAAGAGCUGUUGCAACUUUUAAAACACACAGGGCUCUGAAACUCAUUCCCUAUGGCAAUUGUGAACUUGGUUCUAAAACUGGAACAGAGUUUUGGAGCGUAGUAACAUGCAUUCACUUGUAUUAUCUCUUGUAAAGCACGUAGAAAAUAUUCUCUGUUGCUUGGUUCAUAGAAGGGAAUUGCAUCUUCUGCACGUGAUAAAUUAAAGAUGGUUAAACUUCUGGGGAGAAAAUGCAAGCACUUGAAUGGUGUAUGAUGUACUGGUAUGGGCUGCCUCAGCUCUUUGGUCACAAAUAGGAUGUCUGCACUAAACAUUUUUAUUUUUAAUUAUCUCUGGUUAUCCAAACAGUGCGGCUACAGUUAACAAAUGGUAGGAACAUUAGUGUAGACCACUAGCUCAAAGCAAGUCUAUGUGAAAUGGUAGGUCAUUUUAAUGUCUGCUCUGUUGGUAGCUCUUCCACUAAUGGUAGCAAUGGAAGAAAGUUACAGGUAAAACAGGGUAGAUUAUCCAGAGGUCCAGUCUUUGUCCUCUGACCAAUGAACUUCUCUCCCUGCAUUUGUUUGUUUGCCUUGUCUUUCUCUGGUAUAAGCUGAUGACAGAUGCCAACAUGCAAUGGUGGAAGGAGGCAUGAUUUGUGAGCCUGAUCUAGCCUGUAGGGGUAGCCCUGCGCUGUUCAUUUGGCCUAUGGACUAGCCCUGCACCAUUCAUCUGGCCCUGAAGGCCAAAUGAGUUUAAUACCCCUAAUUUAAUGAAAUCAGGGGAAACUGGGUAACUUAGCCUGUAUUGUAGUAGCUGUAAUUUUCUCAUGUUCGAGGUUAUUGCUGGUUAGCCUGAAAUGAAGAGGCAGCCAGGUAGAAAUGGAGAUGUCUUGAAAAAGAGGAAGGUAUUUGGGAUAUUUUUCAAAUGAUAUAUUUAAUUCAUUAAAAAUGCAACUUUAAACUUUUACUUAAAGCAAGAAGUUUAAUAAUUCUUGACAAAACAAACAUUUUUGUCCUUGUAGCAGUGACUCCAAAAUAGCUAAAUUUGAUGUUAACUCACAGUGAGAAACUAAGUAAACAAUGGGACUUUUAAAGUACAGUAAAGAAGAGGAUGUUCAACUGGCAGCAUAAAGGAAGCUAGCAUUCUAAAACAACAUCCUCCACCUCUCCAGCCUCUUUUGACUUUUUUUUCUCAGUAAAAAAUAUUACCAAAAAAAUUGCUCAAGGCGGUUGUGUUUGAAGCUAUGUGUAUGAAUGUAUUUAUAAUUUCACAGUUUAAAAUGUCAGAAAAUCAUAAUUUAAUAGAUGUUAGAUGCAGUCUACUUCAGUAUUUGAGUAAUAGCAAAAAAGGAACUAUAUUUCUCUGUAACAAGAAUCCAUUUUGAUCAUCUGGAUGCUAUGCAGUUAAUGAGUAGCCGUUUUAGUAAAAUAGUGGGUUUUUAAGAAUUUAGACUUUGUUCACUUCUCAGCAGAAUCCAUUCUAUAUUUAAAAUUAAAGGCAUUUUUAUACAAAUGGAGUCAGACUCUGCAGUAAAAUAAAAUUAUAAGAUUAUAGGACACUUACUCCAGAAGUGGAUCUUCUUGAGAAAAUAGUUUUUCAAUGACUACCAUAGAUCUGGAUUCAGGUUGAACAUUACAAUCAGAAAAAGAGCAACAUUAGGAAUAUCCCAGUCUCAGAUUCUCCAGGUAUAGUGGUGUUUUUGUUUUGUAACCAUGACAUUUCCAACUUAUGUACACAGAUGAAAAUAUGGAUCAAGGGGCAUAAUGUUUUGCUGUGCAUUUGGGUUGCAUGCCACUAAUCUCUAACAGAGAGAUUAAAGUUCACUUUCCUUUCUUUUCUUCAUUUUAUAUUUCCCCUUUUCCUUUUCCUUUCCUAUUCUUUUCCUUUGCAAAGCCUCUAGAAAUUCAUCACAGUACAAUUUAAGACCAUCUCAGAACAGAUCAGCUAUGAUGAUCAGUUUAGUCUAAAAUACUUGUAAAAACUGUACUAAUUUUGCUUGCAUUGGCCUUCAAAAAAAAAAGUGGGAAGGGAUGUUUGAUGUUUUCAGUCUGAAACAUAUAACCAAAAGCCCAAGUGACUGAUAAAAAUGAGGAGCAGAUAUAUCAGCCCACUUACCAACUGCCUUUUGGCUCUUUAGAUGAAAUCUCACUUUUCAAAUGAUCACUAAAAGCCACAGCUGAGAAACCCAAUUCGAUCACCAUUAUUUUUUCUGUUCCUUUUCUUUUUUCCCCCUCUAUAGUUGUGUUAUUAAAUGGCUUUAGUCUGGUAUAGCAUGCUCCAUAUCAAGACUUGAAAUGUAUUUUUGCAUCAGAUCUCAGGAUUUUGUUGUUUUGGGUUUUUUGUUUUUUUUUUACUGGCAGGUUUCAUUUUAAGAGUGUGGUUGUUUGGCACAGCCGAAAACUGAGUGGGCUUUCAUCUUUAAUAAAUUCCUUCAAUUCUAAGAGCCUGAAGGCAGCUUUCCUGCUAACCUACCAGGUUGAUUAUUGCACAGUAUGUUGUUGUGUGGGAAAUAAGAAGUCAGGCCCUGAGCAUCCUUAAGCUAACACAGACAGGAAGCUCUGGGGAGAGAGGGAGGGAGGGCUGGAGGUUGAGACUAGCAGUCUCUGCCACAAGUACAGGUUGAUCCUACAAUAAAAUAAGCCUUGAGGCUCUGAGGAAUAAAUGCAAAUCAAGCAGGACAUCUCAGAAAAUAAACUUGUUAAUAUAACAGAGGGAAUAUUGAGACUGGCACAUUCUAUCACCCCCCCCCUUCUUUUCUUUUCUUUUCUUUUCUUUUCUUUUCUUUUCUUUUCUUUUCUUUCAUUUGUUUAGUGUCGUAAAUGACCAAAAAAUUCAAUAACCCCAGCUUCUUGAAUGUUACUUUUUUGUAGAGCUUUAUUAUUAAACUGUUAAACUAAAUUUCCAGCUAUCAAGCCCUGUCUAUAUUAGCCAUCUUGACUGCAUCCUUAGUUUUCAGGUGUCAAGAGUUUGUGCUAAAGCAUGAGACAAGGACGGGGUGCUUUAAAUAUAACUUGAGCAUCUGUGUAUGGUGUGACCCAGAAAGCUUCCUUGAUUUUUCUCUCAGACCUUGGUGCUUCAUGUUUUCUCUCUUGGAUGUCUGUUUUUACUUUGUCAGAAGCUGUCUGCUGCUUUUAAUUGUAUUAUUGCUAAAUGUUCUUUAUCAAUUUUUAUAGAUGCUAACAAAAGUACUGUGUAGUCAUUUUAUAUUCCUCUGUUCUCUCCCUAUAUGUCUCUGACCAUAGCAAAGUUUGGCCACUUCAAGUUGGGUUAUUAACACCAUUAUGUCUUUGUUUCCAUUUUUAAGCUGCUUGCUGCUAUUUAACUUCUGUGUAUCUUGCAAUUUUAGAACCGUUUUUGUUCAAAGAAAAAAUUAUGAUCUGUUACUACCUAAAUUCAGGCUUAGAUUUCAAGGUGUAUAUAGAAAGAUUUUUUUUUUAAGUGUAGUUGUCAAAAAAUUUUUGUAAAAUGGCACUUUUUUGCUUACUCUUCACUCUGGAUGAAAUUUCAGCAUGGUGUACUCAGCAAUAUGGUUUCCAUUGAUUUCCACUCCCAUGCUCAUUUUCCCCUCCCCCCGGGAAAAUAUCUGGGUAUUCAAAGUCAUGUUUGCUUUACCUCGUUGAAGAAAGGCUUUUUAUUCCUACUGUUAGCAAGAGAGCCAAUACAGCAAAAUUACUUUUUUCUGUUUGCAGAAUUACUAAUUCAAGUUCAUUUGCUAAAUUCUUGUCACUAGUCAAAAUGUCUGAGCAAGAUUGACUUUCAGUUCCUAUGGCAAAUUUUGUAGGCACAAAAAGAAGGUCUUUUACUAAAAAAACUGAGUAAAUUCUACUUAAGAUACUGAACAAAAAUCACCAAUGAAUUGUAAUUUUUAUGGUAUAACUGCAUUGUAAAGUAAGUUAAUAAAAUGAGAAUUAUUUUUUAACGUGCUGGAACAAGAACUAUAUUAUUUGGAAAAAUAAAUUGCUAUUUCAUGGUCACUGCCUAGUUCAAGAGUGCUGGUUUUAUUUUUAAUGUUUAUUCCUAUGUUUUAGUUGUGUUUGAAUUUUAUUUUUAGAUUAAAAUGAAGCAUUCCACAUGAGCAACUGCUAAUUUAUAAUUGGAUAAUCAUCUUGAGUGCAUAAAUAGAAAUCUGCCCUUUGCAAUCAAGUAUGAGUGCAAUGUUUGGAGUUGGUUUUAGGCUGAAAUAAAAGUACAUAUUCUGUUCAAAUUACCUGCCCACUUCUUUUCAUCAAAACUGAA
Molecule: RNA transcript, 5690 nt
Organism: Alligator sinensis (Chinese alligator)
Lineage: Eukaryota; Metazoa; Chordata; Crocodylia; Alligatoridae
Gene: MCUR1
Gene name: mitochondrial calcium uniporter regulator 1
Exons: 9
Source: RefSeq, a predicted model, not a curated record